Molecule: transfer RNA, 76 nt
Filed under: Treponema sp.
Lineage: Bacteria; Pseudomonadati; Spirochaetota; Spirochaetia; Treponematales; Treponemataceae
Description: tRNA-Asn
Rfam family: tRNA
About the family: Transfer RNA (tRNA) molecules are approximately 80 nucleotides in length. Their secondary structure includes four short double-helical elements and three loops (D, anti-codon, and T loops). Further hydrogen bonds mediate the characteristic L-shaped molecular structure. tRNAs have two regions of fundamental functional importance: the anti-codon, which is responsible for specific mRNA codon recognition, and the 3' end, to which the tRNAs corresponding amino acid is attached (by aminoacyl-tRNA synthetases). tRNAs cope with the degeneracy of the genetic code in two manners: having more than one tRNA (with a specific anti-codon) for a particular amino acid; and 'wobble' base-pairing, i.e. permitting non-standard base-pairing at the 3rd anti-codon position.
Source: RNAcentral
UCCCCUGUAGCUCAGUCGGCAGAGCAAGUGGCUGUUAACCACUGGGUCUGGUGUUCGAAUCACCACGGGGGAGCGA